AGGAAAUAAAAACAACAGGGAUUGCCUCAGUAACGGCGAGUGAAGCGGCAACAGCUCAAAUUUGAAAGCUGGCUCCUCUGGGGCCCGCGUUGUAAUUUGUAGAGGAUGCUUCGGGUGCGGCGCCGGUCUAAGUUCUUUGGAACAAGACGUCAUAGAGGGUGAGAAUCCCGUAUGUGACUGGUUGCCUGCGCCUAUGUGAAGCUCCUUCGACGAGUCGAGUUGUUUGGGAAUGCAGCUCUAAAUGGGUGGUGUACUUCAUCUAAAGCUAAAUAUUGGCCAGAGACCGAUAGCGCACAAGUAGAGUGAUCGAAAGAUGAAAAGCACUUUGGAAAGAGAGUUAAACAGUACGUGAAAUUGUUGAAAGGGAAGCGCUUGCAAUCAGACUUGCGCGGCGUCGAUCAGCCUGGGUUUUCCCUGGUGCACUCGGCGCCGCUCAGGCCAGCAUCAGUUUCGGCGGUUGGAUAAAGGCCUAGGGAACGUGGGUCGCCUCGGCGACCGUUAUAGCCCUAGGUGCAAUGCAGCCUGCUGGGACUGAGGACCGCGCUUCGGCUAGGAUGCUGGCGUAAUGGUUGUAAGCGACCCGUCUUGAAACACGGACCAAGGAGUCUAACAUCUAUGCGAGUUUUUGGGUGUCAAACCCAUGAGCGUAAUGAAAGUGAACGGAGGUGAGAACCCUUAAGGGUGCAUCAUCGACCGAUCCUGAUGUCUUCGGAUGGAUUUGAGUAAGAGCAUAGCUGUUGGGACCCGAAAGAUGGUAGCAUACUUUGCCAUUGAGAGCUGCAGCGCAGCUAGUGGGCCCAUGAGGCUGUGAGAGAUUAAUCUGCUGUGAAAUAUACAAGUUUAUUUCAGCAGCAUCCCUUACCCGGGAUGUUAAAAACAAAUAGAAUUCAAUGGCUGCGGGCAGUUUGAAAAUGGCCCGGGCAUUCCCUAGCGAUGGGGGAUACAAGCUGGAACUAUGCCUGAAUAGGGGGAAGCCAGAGAAACUUCUGGUGGAGGCCGC
Molecule: ribosomal RNA, 1000 nt
Filed under: Tryblidiopsis yunnanensis
Lineage: Eukaryota; Fungi; Ascomycota; Leotiomycetes; Rhytismatales; Rhytismataceae
Description: Tryblidiopsis sp. LZ-2024e partial large subunit ribosomal RNA
Rfam family: Eukaryotic large subunit ribosomal RNA
Source: RNAcentral